UGCGUAGGCGGGUCUUUAAGUCAGGGGUGAAAUCCUGGAGCUCAACUCCAGGACUGCCUUUGAUACUGAAGAUCUUGAGUUCGGGAGAGGUGAGUGGAACUGCGAGUGUAGAGGUGAAAUUCGUAGAUAUUCGCAAGAACACCAGUGGCGAAGGCGGCUCACUGGCCCGAUACUGACGCUGAGGCACGAAAGCUGGGGAGCAAACA
RNAcentral lists this ribosomal RNA (206 nucleotides) under uncultured bacterium. RNAcentral's name for it is "partial 16S ribosomal RNA". It matches the Rfam family "Bacterial small subunit ribosomal RNA", at positions 568 to 774 of the family's 1533-position model. The record is from RNAcentral.